UUUUGUGAAGAGACGAAGACUGAGCGGUUGUGGCCGCUUUGCCGACCUCCAGCAGCAGUCGGCUUCUCCACCCAGAACCCGGGAGUAGGAGACUCAGAAUCGAAUCUCUUCUCCCUCCCCCUCUUGUGAGAUUUUUUUGAUCUUCAGCUACAUUUUCGGCUUUGUGAGAAACCUUACCAUCAAACACAAUGGCCAGCAACGUUACCAACAAGACAGAUCCUCGCUCCAUGAACUCCCGUGUAUUCAUUGGGAAUCUCAACACUCUUGUGGUCAAGAAAUCUGAUGUGGAGGCAAUCUUUUCGAAGUAUGGCAAAAUUGUGGGCUGCUCUGUUCAUAAGGGCUUUGCCUUCGUUCAAUAUGUUAAUGAGAGAAAUGCCCGGGCUGCUGUAGCAGGAGAGGAUGGCAGAAUGAUUGCUGGCCAGGUUUUAGAUAUUAACCUGGCUGCAGAGCCAAAAGUGAACCGAGGAAAAGCAGGUGUGAAACGAUCUGCAGCGGAGAUGUACGGGUCAGUAACAGAACACCCUUCUCCGUCCCCUCUACUCAGGUCCGGAACUUUAUUAUUUAUAACUGCAUUGUGUCCAUCAGUGGGCAUCUUCUUUCUG
RNAcentral lists this small RNA (602 nucleotides) under Pongo abelii (Sumatran orangutan). RNAcentral describes it as "retained intron". The record is from RNAcentral. Lineage: Eukaryota; Metazoa; Chordata; Mammalia; Primates; Hominidae.